RNAcentral lists this ribosomal RNA (480 nucleotides) under uncultured bacterium. RNAcentral's name for it is "partial 16S ribosomal RNA". It matches the Rfam family "Bacterial small subunit ribosomal RNA", at positions 28 to 507 of the family's 1533-position model. The record is from RNAcentral.
GACGAACGCUGGCGGCGCGCUUAACACAUGCAAGUCGAGCGAUGAAACUUUAACAGAACCCUUCGGGGCGAAGAUACAGUGGAUUAGCGGCGGACGGGUGAGUAACACGUGAGUAACCUGCCUUCUACAUUGGGAUAGCCUCGGGAAACCGGGAUUAAUACCACAUCAAAUCAUAAUGACACAUGUCAUAACGAUCAAAACUCCGGUGUUCUAAGAUGGACGCGAGUCCCAUUAGCUAGUUGGUAGAGUAAAAGCCUACCAAGGCGACGAUGGGUAGCCGGCAUGAGAGGGUGAACGGCCACAGUGGAACUGAGAAACGGUCCAAACUCCUACGGGAGGCAGCAGUGGGGAAUAGUGCACAAUGGAGGGAACUCUGAUGCAGCGACGCCGCGUGAACGAAGAAGGCUUUCGAGUCGUAAAGUUCUUUUAUAUGGGAAGAUAAUGACGGUACCAUAAGAAAAAGCCCCGGCUAACUACGUG